RNAcentral lists this ribosomal RNA (497 nucleotides) under uncultured bacterium. RNAcentral describes it as "partial 16S ribosomal RNA". It matches the Rfam family "Bacterial small subunit ribosomal RNA", at positions 28 to 507 of the family's 1533-position model. The record is from RNAcentral.
GAUGAACGCUGGCGGCGUGCCUAAUACAUGCAAGUCGAGCGAACAGACGAGGAGCUUGCUCCUCUGACGUUAUCGGCGGACGGGUUAGUAACACGUGGAUAACCUACCUAUAAGACUGGGAUAACUUCGGGAAACCGGCGCUAAUACCGGAUAAUAUAUUGAACCGCAUGGUUCAAUAGUGAAAGACGGUUUUGCUGUCACUUAUAGAUGGAUCCGCGCCGCAUUAGCUAGUUGGUAAGGUAACGGCUUACCAAGGCAACGAUGCGUAGCCGACCUGAGCGGGUGAUCGGCCACACUGGAACUGAGAAACGGUCCAGACUCCUACGGUAGGCAGCAGUAGGGAAUCUUCCGCGAUGGGCGAAAGCCUGACGGAGCAACGCCGCGUGAAUGAUGAAGGUGUUAGGAUCGGAAAACUAUGUUAUUAGGGAAGAACAAAUGUGUAAGUAACUAUGCACGUCUUGACGGUACCUAAUCAGAAAGCCACGGCUAACUACGUG